This 1509-nucleotide ribosomal RNA is filed under the name Helicobacter pylori. RNAcentral describes it as "bacterial SSU rRNA". It matches the Rfam family "Bacterial small subunit ribosomal RNA". Lineage: Bacteria; Pseudomonadati; Campylobacterota; Epsilonproteobacteria; Campylobacterales; Helicobacteraceae. The record is from RNAcentral.
UUUAUGGAGAGUUUGAUCCUGGCUCAGAGUGAACGCUGGCGGCGUGCCUAAUACAUGCAAGUCGAACGAUGAAGCUUCUAGCUUGCUAGAGUGCUGAUUAGUGGCGCACGGGUGAGUAACGCAUAGGUCAUGUGCCUCUUAGUUUGGGAUAGCCAUUGGAAACGAUGAUUAAUACCAGAUACUCCCUACGGGGGAAAGAUUUAUCGCUAAGAGAUCAGCCUAUGUCCUAUCAGCUUGUUGGUAAGGUAAUGGCUUACCAAGGCUAUGACGGGUAUCCGGCCUGAGAGGGUGAACGGACACACUGGAACUGAGACACGGUCCAGACUCCUACGGGAGGCAGCAGUAGGGAAUAUUGCUCAAUGGGGGAAACCCUGAAGCAGCAACGCCGCGUGGAGGAUGAAGGUUUUAGGAUUGUAAACUCCUUUUGUUAGAGAAGAUAAUGACGGUAUCUAACGAAUAAGCACCGGCUAACUCCGUGCCAGCAGCCGCGGUAAUACGGAGGGUGCAAGCGUUACUCGGAAUCACUGGGCGUAAAGAGCGCGUAGGCGGGAUAGUCAGUCAGGUGUGAAAUCCUAUGGCUUAACCAUAGAACUGCAUUUGAAACUACUAUUCUAGAGUGUGGGAGAGGUAGGUGGAAUUCUUGGUGUAGGGGUAAAAUCCGUAGAGAUCAAGAGGAAUACUCAUUGCGAAGGCGACCUGCUGGAACAUUACUGACGCUGAUUGCGCGAAAGCGUGGGGAGCAAACAGGAUUAGAUACCCUGGUAGUCCACGCCCUAAACGAUGGAUGCUAGUUGUUGGAGGGCUUAGUCUCUCCAGUAAUGCAGCUAACGCAUUAAGCAUCCCGCCUGGGGAGUACGGUCGCAAGAUUAAAACUCAAAGGAAUAGACGGGGACCCGCACAAGCGGUGGAGCAUGUGGUUUAAUUCGAAGAUACACGAAGAACCUUACCUAGGCUUGACAUUGAGAGAAUCCGCUAGAAAUAGUGGAGUGUCUGGCUUGCUAGACCUUGAAAACAGGUGCUGCACGGCUGUCGUCAGCUCGUGUCGUGAGAUGUUGGGUUAAGUCCCGCAACGAGCGCAACCCCCUUUCUUAGUUGCUAACAGGUCAUGCUGAGAACUCUAAGGAUACUGCCUCCGUAAGGAGGAGGAAGGUGGGGACGACGUCAAGUCAUCAUGGCCCUUACGCCUAGGGCUACACACGUGCUACAAUGGGGUGCACAAAGAGAAGCAAUACUGCGAAGUGGAGCCAAUCUUCAAAACAUCUCUCAGUUCGGAUUGUAGGCUGCAACUCGCCUGCAUGAAGCUGGAAUCGCUAGUAAUCGCAAAUCAGCCAUGUUGCGGUGAAUACGUUCCCGGGUCUUGUACUCACCGCCCGUCACACCAUGGGAGUUGUGUUUGCCUUAAGUCAGGAUGCUAAACUAGCUACUGCCCACGGCACACACAGCGACUGGGGUGAAGUCGUAACAAGGUAACCGUAGGUGAACCUGCGGUUGGAUCACCUCCUUUCUAGA